This is a long non-coding RNA of Engraulis encrasicolus (European anchovy), 878 nucleotides long. RefSeq lists it as uncharacterized. The record is from RefSeq and is a predicted model, not a curated record. NCBI's taxonomy places the organism in Eukaryota, Metazoa, Chordata, Actinopteri, Clupeiformes, Engraulidae. The transcript has 3 exons.
GCGCGCAGCCGCAGAUCACGGUGCUGUUGUUUUGAAAAUGCAUUUCAUGCAGCGUUGAUAGACUGGCACAUAACUGGCAAGCAUUUCCCCCCGUACGACAUUGAACAUAUCGAAAAUGUGACGAGGCCUGUAUCAAACAUGACAUAAUCCGUCGUUAACCUUCCAGUCUACAUCCCAAAACGUUUGAGCUACGUUGUGAAGAUUAUGUAGUGGUUCCUAGUCACUCAUCCGGACAGUGGUGGGCCGACUGAAACAUUUUGGGGACAUAAUGCUGUGACGUUCCAAAAAGACCAGAUUCUCUCCAAUGUGUCAGCCAACAGCACUGACUGAUGAUGGACCAUGCAUGCACCUGCUGGGGCGUCUUCUCAAACUGCCUAUGAUGUUCACAGCUACACGAGCUAUUCAUUGUGUAGCCGUCACGUGACGUGGUGGUGUGUGCACAGGAGAAGAUAAACUGGCUCGCGCAUUCAUCUGUUGGGGCUCGUGGUCCUUUGCCUUCACACAGUCUCUACACACUGGGGAACCGGCUUGGCGCUACUCCACAUCGAGAAUUGAAAUGCAACAUCAGUCUUGUGGCGAAGUAACUUGUUCCCGUUGGAAAAAAGAAAAUGUCUGCUUCACUGACUGGAUGGCGGGGUAGCUGGCCCGGACAACAGUGCUUCUGGCAAGGGGCAGCAUGCUCGUCACUCAGGCCCUUAAAAAGUACUCUUUCGUUGGACCACGGAGGCUUGUGAGCAAGCCAAAGGAUCUUGGCAGCAAACCACGACGGACCAUUACAACAAUGAUAAUUUCACAACAUUGGUGUUCAGUCGAGUUUUAUUUCUAUGACAUUGUAAUUCAUAACCCAGAAGCACUAAAGAACCAGGCAUAAUGACCUA